UUGUUCUCACUUUGGCAACACAUAUACUAAAAUUGGAAUGAUACAGAGAAGAUUAGCAUGACCCCUGCACAAGGAUGAUAUGCACAUUUGUGAAGAGUUCCAUAUUGAA
Erinaceus europaeus (western European hedgehog) is the source of this 109-nucleotide small nuclear RNA. The record is from Ensembl. Lineage: Eukaryota; Metazoa; Chordata; Mammalia; Eulipotyphla; Erinaceidae.